CAUCACAGACUACCUCAAACUGCCCGACUCCAACCUUCAGCACCUUCUUAGAAUACAGAAAAAAGAAAAAUGAAGAGAGGCAAAAGUUUUCUGAAGGGAGGAAGGGCUUAAAGAAAAAGGAAAAAAGAAAGGUUCAGGUAGUUUGGCUAGCUCUGUCUGAAAACAAGUUGAGGUUAAUUUUCUAAUGACAUUCUUUUGUUAUUCCUUAGGGGAGUUGUGUAAAAAAUGUUCAGUGUAGUAAAGCUAUCCAGAAUAAGAACAAUUGUUUACGAGUAAUUGUACAUUUAGGUUGUCAGGAAGAUCCCUCUUUUGCAGUUAAUAAAUAAUCAAGUUUGAAUAGAUCUGCUUAGAGUCAUAUUAGUAUCUACUUGGCCCAUUGUUCAUGUCUUUUAACUUACAGAUAAAUGUCGGCUUGAUGACCAUUAAAAAGGGUGGUUUGAAGCCAUACCGUGGAAAAACUAUUUUCCUAACAACAGACCCUGACGCUACUGCCACAAGUCUGCUCAAUCAAGCUGUUAAAAAAAUGAAGGACUUUAACAAAGAUCUAAAAGAUGGACCUUUCCUUCUUCUGUAUCCGGAUGGCACUGAGGUCAUUACUGUCCCUGGAACACAAAGACCAUUUACACUUGAGGCUUAUAAGGCUGAAGUUGGCAAGCCUUAUCAAAGAAUCACUGUUUUCAUCUGCUUGAAGAGUGACUUUGAAGAUGUUGGAGAAAACUCAGACUUGUCUGACUCUGACCCAGAGAUUGUUAUUAAAAGGCCCUCUGAGUUUGAUCUUGCUGAUACACUGCCAUGGGAACUUCAACAUGACAGCAGUCCUUUACAGAAAGCAGCAGAAUAUGAGAAGGGUGCUGGGGAUCUUGUGCUUGCUAAUGAAGUACAACAGGUAAAAAACUAUUUUAUUAGUAAAACAGUGCAGCAGACAAUCUCCACCGCCUUUACUUUGCAAUUAGAUAACGAUUCACUGUUUGCUGAGCCCCCAGAAGAACCUGUGUUAGUAAUUUAA
RNAcentral lists this long non-coding RNA (1006 nucleotides) under Oreochromis niloticus (Nile tilapia). RNAcentral describes it as "lncRNA (ENSONIG00000022701.2)". The record is from RNAcentral. Lineage: Eukaryota; Metazoa; Chordata; Actinopteri; Cichliformes; Cichlidae.